Molecule: small nuclear RNA, 105 nt
Organism: Erinaceus europaeus (western European hedgehog)
Lineage: Eukaryota; Metazoa; Chordata; Mammalia; Eulipotyphla; Erinaceidae
Source: Ensembl
GUGCCUAUUUUGGUAGCACAGAUACUAAAAUUGAAAUGUUAGAGAGAUUAGCACAGUCUCUGCACAAGGAGUGACAUGCAAAUUUGUGAAUCAUUCUAUAUUGGA